UUCAGUCAAAUCUGCCCGGUGAAUUUUUAACGGCCGCAGUAUCUUAACUGUGCUAAGGUAGCGUAAUCAUUAGCUUUCUAAUUAAAAGCCCGUAUGAACGAUCCGACGAAAAACUAACUGUCUCGAAACUGCUAAGAACUUCUUUUGAAAGUUAAAAACCUUUCCAUCUUCAAUAGGACGACAAGACCCUGCAAAACUUUACUCACCCCUAGGAUUUACCCUUAGGAAUCUUAUAUUCUUAGCUCGAGUUUUACUGGGGCGGUAAUAACCUUUCCAAACGUUUAACACGCUAACAUAGUGUAUGAAAUUUACGAACUUUUUAAACUAAGACCAAGUUACUUCAGGGAUAACAGCGCAAUUAACCCUUAGAGUCCUUAUCGACGGGUUCGUUUACGACCUCGAUGUUGAAUUGAAUUCCCUCCUUUGAGCAAAAACUAAGAAAGGAAGUCUGUUCGACU
Molecule: ribosomal RNA, 458 nt
Filed under: Paradella dianae
Lineage: Eukaryota; Metazoa; Arthropoda; Malacostraca; Isopoda; Sphaeromatidae
Description: partial 16S ribosomal RNA
Rfam family: Bacterial large subunit ribosomal RNA
Source: RNAcentral